AAAAUUGAUAAAAUGCAUUCUGACUGCAGUUAGGAAUUCCCUCAUCUGUCAGAAUGUACUGAAGUUUACUGUAGUGCUGAGUGAAAUCUGAGACGUGACAUCCGUGUUGGAAUUUCUGCUGUAUGAAGAAUUUACCCUUAGCCCAUGGUCUUUGCCAGACCAUCACAGCCCUGAGGAGAAAUGAAAACCUGAUCCCCCUUUCUUCAUGGAGCUCUGGACACAUUUGAAGAGAAAAUGUCAUUUUGUGCCUGCUGGAGGUGUGAUGGGAUCAGAGACAUCAAUGCUAAACUGCAGUGCUCUCUGCUCAACCCAUCGAGAGAGAGGAAAGAAUUUUCCUCUUAGGUGUCAUCCCCAACGUUUACAGUGUGUCCAAAGAGAACGGACUCCAUUCUGUUGGAGAUCCCAUCUCGGGCAGUCUGACAGCGAUUAUGGAGCAGCAGCAUUAUUGCUGUGGGGAGUGCUGAUGAUCUUGGUUUUACUCAUUUCCCCGUGGGAGGACUUGCCUGCUUCUGAGUGCAGCCUUAAUUACAAAGGUGAGUGUUAAAAAUUAACUGUCAGCAGGUAAAGCAGUGGAAAAGU
Molecule: long non-coding RNA, 579 nt
Filed under: Zonotrichia albicollis (white-throated sparrow)
Lineage: Eukaryota; Metazoa; Chordata; Aves; Passeriformes; Passerellidae
Description: lncRNA (ENSZALG00000013669.1)
Source: RNAcentral